ACCAGUGUAAACAAUACCAACGAAGGUCAUAUCUACCCACCCAAAAGCUCCAGUCACAGGGAACAGCCACGAACGCUCCAGCCAGGAAAAGGUGCACUUGCUUUUCUCUAGCGUCCACAGGCCACGUGCGGGAGGAGGGGCCGCCUUCUGAUUGGUGGCCGGAGUCUCGCCUAGGGGGCGGAGCCACCUGUCUGUCCAUCACCACAUACUGGGCGGGGCCUGGGCGGGCAGGCCUGGUUGUAGGGCAGAGUCAGGACAGCGGGACCCAAUCUCUGCGCUUUGCCUCUACUCGGCCACCGCUCCUCCAGUGCCGACCGCGAGGCGACGGUUGCCGGGGCACGCGCCGCCCGUUCCUCUUUCCCGUUGCGAGCGGCUGGCGCGCAGGGAGGCGGCCCCCAAUCCGGCCGGGCGCCUCCCACUUUCCGAGCCGCCGGGGAGCCGGAGGAUGGCGGCGGUGGCAGCGGCCG
Molecule: long non-coding RNA, 467 nt
Filed under: Rattus norvegicus (Norway rat)
Lineage: Eukaryota; Metazoa; Chordata; Mammalia; Rodentia; Muridae
Description: long non-coding RNA NONRATT020489
Source: RNAcentral